RNAcentral lists this small RNA (559 nucleotides) under Spisula solidissima (Atlantic surf clam). Its description in RNAcentral is "cnRNA93". The record is from RNAcentral. Lineage: Eukaryota; Metazoa; Mollusca; Bivalvia; Venerida; Mactridae.
AUAAGGCCCGCACUACAGCUCUCCACUGGUGAUCUAUUAGUGGCCUACGCUUUUGUGUCUCCCCAUGUCAUCUCAGUUUCUUUUUGUCAAGAGUUCAGUGUUCUCCGCCAAGAUUGCUUGGGUCUCCCUCUUUACCUUGUGCCUUGUGAAUUCCAGUCAAGAGCCUGUCUUGCAAUGUUGGGCUGAGGUAUCCUUAAGGUGUGGCCAAUCCAUCUCCACAUCUUCUGUAUAAUGGAGACUGUGAUUGGCUGCUGUUUAGUCCUCGCCCAUAAGUCUUGAUUUAAGAUCAUCCAUACAGAAGGACUGUUUUGACGUUUGACUUGUUGACUUCUGUCUUGAUACGCUCUAAUAUCACUCGUGUCAGUACUUUGCUGGGUAAAGACAACAAUUGGAUUCCUCUCCAGUUUUGACAGUCACUCAGGUUUCCGUACUUUGGUAGUUUGGGUAUGUAUCCUAAUCUCCACUCCUCAGGAACUUCUUCUGAAUCCCAAAUGUGUUGGAUGAGGCCGAGUAAUAUGUCUGCUGUAGUGUCUGUAGAUGGUUUUAGUGCCUGUGGUGG